UAACACGUAGGGGGCAAGCGUUGUCCGGAUUUAUUGGGCGUAAAGAGCUCGUAGGCGGCUCGGUAAGUCGGAUGUGAAAACUCGGGGCUCAACCCCGAGACGCCAUUCGAUACUGCCAUGGCUUGAGUCCGGUAGGGGAGCAGGGAAUACCUGGUGUAGCGGUGAAAUGCGCAGAUAUCAGGUGGAACACCGGUGGCGAAGGCGCUGCUCUGGGCCGGUACUGACGCUGAGGAGCGAAAGCGUGGGGAGCAAACAGGAUUAGAUACCCUGGUAGUCCACGCCGUAAACGUUGGGCACUAGGUGUGGGGGAUUAUCAACGUCCUCCGUGCCGUAGCUAACGCAUUAAGUGCCCCGCCUGGGGAGUACGGCCGCAAGGCUA
This 379-nucleotide ribosomal RNA is filed under the name uncultured bacterium. RNAcentral describes it as "bacterial SSU rRNA". It matches the Rfam family "Bacterial small subunit ribosomal RNA", at positions 521 to 896 of the family's 1533-position model. The record is from RNAcentral.